AAUCCAAUAGGAUUAUAGAGAAUUUAUAAUUAAAUGUUAACAAUCAUAAUCAAACAUUAAGCAAGUUCAAUUAAAUUUUAUUGAAGUUAUAAAAGAAACACAAAGAAAUCCUAAAGAAAUAUAAAAGAAUAUUAAAGAAAACUUAAUCAAAUCCUAAAAAAAAUCUAAUAAAACCUUAAAUUCUAACCAAUCUCUAAUCCUAAUCCAACCUUAAUCAAAUCCUAGAUAAAUCCUAAAUCCUAAACCAAACCCUAAUCAAAUCUUAAUCAAACUCUAAACCUAAAACCAAUCCCUAAUCAAAUCCUAAAUCAAAUCUUAAAUCCUAAUUCAAAUCCUAAUUCAAACCCUAAUCCAAAUCCUAAAUCCUAAACCAAACCCUAACUCUAAACCCUAAUCAAAUCCUAACCUAAACCAAAUCCUAAUCACAGAUUUGAAAAUUAAAUAACUAAAGAUUGAACCAUUGAUUCUAAUUCAAAAUUUGCACUCUUCUUGGAGUUUAAGUUAGAAAUCAGGACACUAAUUUUGAAGAAAAUCGCACUUACCAAUUAGUUGAUGACCUCAAAAUUCUGCUCAAAUGUCGGCUGGUCUCUCCUUCUCCAAUCUUGAUGCCAACUUCCAAUGCUGAUAUCUCCUUUUUCUACUAUUUGAUAGCUUCCAAAAUUUACUUGCAUAUAGGAAAUCAAGUCUUCUACUGAUAAAACCAAAAAUCUUUCCAAUCCAACUAGCAGAUUGCUAGAUAUCUAAGAAAACCUUAUUGGUCUUCAAAACCCUAAAUCUUGAGACCUUAGCCUACAAAAACCUUCAUAUGUAUCGAUCUAGCCAUUCGAUUGAUCUCAAAUCUCUUAUACACAUUAACAACAAGCAUACCAAUAAGUUUCUAAAUUUUCACCCGUAAAAAUGCUACAAAAGACACGUAAUUCAAAAAUUUGUAAAUCGGUUUUAUUUCUCAAAGAUCUGAAGUCACAGAGAACAUCACUUGCUUUGAAAAUCCCUCAAAAAUCCAAUACUGAUCCAAAAAACACGAAAUCACUUCUCAAAAAUUCCUCCACAAGUCUUCUCUCUAAUUCGGCUCUUUGAUCUGCCAAAGAACCCUUGAGUCACCGUCAGAGCACGGUUUUGUGCCUCGGGGUCUGAUUUCGACCCAGGUUCAUAACCGGUCCUCUUCGGGUAUCAAAUUUUGUUUUUUUGAGGUAAUUUUUACUAAUUUGCACUCCUAACUCCUCCCUACACAUGCCUAUAUCCUUUAUUUUUCUAAUCUAUCUUGUUUUGUCUUAUUUAUGGCCUUAUAAAGUAAAUAGAAGCAUAAUUUGUAAAAAGGCAGCAUUAGCACCUUUAAUUUUUCUACCCUUUGACUAAUAUCUAUUUUUCCAAGAUAAUUUGCUACAAUAUUUUUGAAGUGAGAUCCUCAAAAAAUGAUAUUUUCUUCAUCCUUUCACUUGUUAGCCAUGUUACAUCAUGACAUCCACCCCUCCUAAACCUUUGCAUCCUUUGGUAUGCGCCAAGUUCCUUCAUUAUAUUGAUAUCAAAUGUUCUUUAUCUUGGUCAAAUUCUUGAUCUUCAUUUUGCUCUUUUUCUUCCAUCUCAAUAUCUCGUAUUAGAUUUUGUUCUUCAUCAAAAUAAAUGUCUUUACCUCUUUGAUUAAACAAUUUGAUUUGCUUGCCUACUAUUGGUAUCUUUAAAUCUGUACCAUCCAAUUCUCAUAACAAGUAUGUUCCAUUCUCAUGCACUUGUUUGACAACAUAAGGUCUAAACCAUCUCCUUGCAAAUUUCUUUGCCGUACUAUGUUGGUUGUCCAAACUACUAUCGUAAACCAAUACCCAAUCACCAUUUUGAAUUGGUUUUGGAUGCAAUCGAUGCUUUUUGUCAAACCUCUCCUUGUUUUUUUUCUCUCGCUUCUUUCAACUUUUUCAAAACUACUUCAAUGUCCUGAGGCCUUCUUUCAAGUUGUCAAAUUCGUAAUACCAAUAACUCUUCUCUUGUUAAACCAUCUUCCCAAGGUAAUAUAGUCUAUGUUGAUACAACCUCCUCUAUCGGCAUUACCGAUUUUUGACCAUACAUCAAUUCAGCUGGCAUGUAUCCUGUAACCGUACUAUGAAUUGUGCAAUCCGCCCAUAAUGUAAAUGGUAAUAAUUUAAGCCAAUCACUUAUCUUGCCUUUGCAUACUUUAACCAAUGUUUUAAUAAUCAAAGAAUAUCCACGUUCAUUCUUGUCAUUCUCUUCUGGAUUAUAUGCUGUUGUCAAUGCAAGUUUAAUAUCCAUCCUUUCAAAGAACUCUCGUGCUUCAUUUGUAUCCAAAUCUCCUCUAUCUAUAGUGAUUUUUCCAAUACAUCCAUAUCGGCAAAUAAUUUCUUUUAAUAUAAACUGACAUACUCCUUCCGUAGUCUUUAUUGAAAUUACUCUUUCCUCUACUUGAUUUGUCAAAUCUUCCCGAGCAAGUACCAAAUAUUUCCUCUGACCAAAUCCCAUUGGCAUUACAACUAAAUCAACCACAUAUUUAUAAUGAAUUACUAAUGGGUAUGUAAGAUUCAAACCAUCUCGAUGACAAAUAUUUGAAUAUAUUUUGCAAGUUUCACAAGAUCCUACAAAAUCUGCCACAUCCCUAUACAUGCCCUUCCACUAAUAUUUUUCUUUCAACUUAAUAAAUGUUGUUCAAAUACCUCGAUGCCCUACCCAUAAACUUUCAUGAAAUUCCUUAAUAAUCAUUUAUUGAGCUUCUAAACCACAUAUCACUCGUUGUGGUACUUCUCCUCUCUUCUUUGGAUGCUUCCAUAAAUAUCCAUCAUGUAAAAAAUAUCCAUAGGCUUUCUUUCGGAUUUUCUUAAAUUCUUGAUGUGUCCAACCAUCUUGUCACUUUAAUGUACUUAAAUACUCCUCAAUGUCUUUCCAUUCUUCUUCAUAUAGAUCUCUUGAAAAUAUUUCUAAUGGUAUAUUCAAACAUAUACUUUCUUCCUUUGAUAAUGCAUUAGUAUAAAAAUUUGUACCCACAUCAUCUUCUAAAUCUAUCAUAGCUUCUUCAUUGUAAUACUUUGCUCUUGAUAACGUAUCUAUGACUGAAUUUUCUUUUCCUGUAAUAUGUUUAAAUUCCGGAUUUAUAGAUUUGAUAUAUGCCAUCCACCUUAAUAUAGCAAUAUCGGGAGUUGAACAACUUGUAAUCAUACCCAAUAAAGAUAGACAAUCUGUUUCUAUAACUACUGAUGCACCAAUCAAAUACUCCCUUUCAUUUUUCAUAGCUAUUACUACACCCUAUAAUUCUCUUUUGAUUUGUGUAUAUAUCCUUUGUCUAGCAUUCAAAACCUUUGUUCCAAACUUUACUACAUAUCUAUUCCCUUGUUCAUCAUCUUGUCCAACUACCCAACUUAUUCCAAUUGGACUUGCAUCAAAUGUUAAUAUUACUGGCCUUCCACAUUCAUAAUUUACUUUCUUCAAAGUUGGAGGUGAAGAAAGAAAUUCUUUUAACUUUGCCAUAGCUUUUCUUUGUUCUUCUUUCUAUUGAAAUUUUUGUUUCUUUCGUAACAACUUAUAUAAUGGAUCUAUUAUAUGUGCAAAAUGAGAUAUCCAUAUAUGAUAAAAAAUACAUGCUCUUAAAAACCUCCUUACUUUUGUCAUAUUUGCACACUCUUUCAUUUUUUUUUUCUAAUAUCAACUUUUUUCCUAUUUGAUUUGCGUCCAUAUGAACCACACAUGUGCCCUACUACCAAAACUUCUUUUAUUCCAAAUAUUGAUUUUAUCCCCAAUAAGGUUAAAUGAACUUCUACUAGCCUUAUUAAAAUCUUCUCACAAUCAUCAAUAUGAUCUGCCACAAACUUCCUACAUCCCUUUGAAUCCAAUGUCUCAUCUUUUCUUUCUUCUUCACAUCCCUUAAUUGGCACAUUAUCUAGAAAAAAUAUUGUUAUUCUAGGAAUAAAAUUUCUUAGUACCUUAUGCAUUCCAUUCAUCAUGUGUGCCACAGAAUUUGUAGCCUUUUGUGGUAAUGUACACAUUUUGAUCAAUCCCAAUGGUGUCUUCAUAGUUGUCAAAUCUCUACUUUGCAUUGCCAAUUGAAAUUGAUCGUAUCUUGAGCAAAGAUCUCCCAUAGAAUAAAUUAAUCUUCUUGUAAAUGCCUUUGCAAAUUCAUCCACAAUUGGACUUGAGCCCAUGUUUCUAAUAGUUAUUUUAUUUACUGGUUGCAUAUCUUGAAUAAACCUCAAUGUUCCAUUUUUCUUAGAUAUUAUGAACCACCGAUUGGAAUAUUGUGCAAUAGAUGGUUCUAAAAUUUUAAUCUUAAUUUUUUUAUUGAGUAAUUCAACUAGCUUUGGCAAAUGGGCCUUUGGGAUUGGAAUUGGCCUCAAAUUCCAUGGUUCAUGUGGAAUUAUAAAAAUAACCAUAGGUACUACAAUACUCAGAUCAAUACACCCUAUUUCAUGUAAUUCAAAUACAAAUGCUUUACUAUAUCAUAAAAGAAUUUCUUGAAACAUCUCUCCUCAUCUCUUGUCAAAAAUUUAUCACAUCUAAUUUUCAAACCAUCUAACAUCAAAUUAUCCUUAAAUUCAUGACCUAUUUUCCUUAGAUCUCUUAAGUUAGGUUGCAUAGAAGCCCCUUUAAUCCUUUCUUCAAAAUCCGAUGGUAGUGGCAAUGCCACUGGUUUAACCUUCUUUAUAACAAUCUUAUAUUUUGUGUUCACCUUCACUUCAUACCUAUCCAUAUAUUCUUUUAUUCCAUCAUAAAAUUACUUAGAAUGGACAUUUAUUAUUUUAUCACCUCUUUCAAAAUCUCCAUUCAAUAAUAUUAGUAAAUCAUUCAUAGUAUCACCAAAAUAAGAUUCUUUAAAUAUCCUUGAUAUGUAUUUAUCUUCAUCAAUCAUUUCACAUUUCUUUAAUCCCUAGUCUACAUUCUUAAAAUUUUUCUUAUCUAUCCUAUUAAAAUUAUUUAUGUUUUUGAAUAAAAUAUAUCCGUCUCGUGAUAAUCUUAUAAUAUCUUCAUCCUUUCUAUUAGGCGGGAAGCCUUCAAUCUUUUUACUAUUGCAAUCCCGCUUUACAAUGGUGUCUAGUAAAAAUCCUUUGAGUCUUUAAGAUCUUCAAAUUCUUUAUGUAUCUUUGGCAAAGGAUGUUCCCUCAAACUAUUCCUAUUUCUUCCAUGAUUUACACAAACUGUUAAAAAUUGCACCGCCCUCUUUCCGUUGUCGUGUUGUAACACGAGUAUACCGUGAAAAUAUAAAGAAAGGGGACUUUUAUUAAUGUUCAGUUACCUCGAAUAUUGGGAGCAACGACCAACUCCAGUGCAAAUACUGAGUGGCCACGUUCAGUCACCCCGUUACAGUCAGCCAGGGCAUACUGAAAUGCUACGUUCGAUUCCAAUAACGGAAGUCAGCAGGAAGAGAAAGGACCAAUUCACACGACGGGUGAGCUUGGUUCGAAGAGCCAAUUGGAUCCAAUUUCAAGAAUCCAAUCCGGGUCCUCUUACCCAAUAUGAGACCUGCAUUGGUCAGGCAACCCAAUGCAGUCUUAUUACGGGAACAUCCAGGUUACUACGGGCAUCUUACCAAUAUGAGACCUGCAUUGGUCGGACAACCCAAUGCAGUCUAAUUACGGGAGAAUCCGGGUCUUACAACUGGAUUCUUAUCUAAUAUGAGACCUGAAUUGGUCGGGCGACUCAAUGUGGACCCGAGUACGGGGUUUCGAUUCUGUUUUAGGUUGUCAUAUUCUCUGUUUCAGGGAAAGUUGUUUUCGGUAAAUGGAUUUCUUAAAGGUAAAAACGGAGGAGAAAGCUCUGACGGCGAGAGCCAAAUUCGGAUCUAAGCCUUGAUGGCGAGAGCCAAUUUCGGAUCUAAGCUCUGACGGCAGGAGCAAAUUUCGGAUCCAAGAUGGAAGAUUGAAGAAAUUCAGAGGAUAAGGUUAGGGGGGGAGUAAGUUUUGGGGAGGUUUUUUUUCAGAUCAGGGGGAGGUUUUUCUUUUUGAAGAUAGGGAAGAGCUAGCUUCAAGCUCUUUUCAAGGUUACUAGUUCGGUUUCAUUGGAGGUUUUUGAAGAUCAAGGAUUGGAGAGGAGCUUCAUGCUUCGGGUCAGGGAAGAAAAGACGGAGAAUUGGAUUUUUCUUCUUCAUAGAGUUUUGAGGAGACUAAGGCAAUCGUUGCUGAAGUCAGUGUUGUAAUGGUGAAUCGGGAUUUUUUUAAUAAAGUGGACUUGAUUACUCUUGACUGUUUUGUGAAAUCGAGUUACGUCUGUGAUUGAAGAAUUAAAAGGGUGUCUAUAGGAUUGAGUAUGCGGAGCGAAUGAAAUUUAUUGGGUUAAUCUAACAAGACAGUCAGUGGAUAUAAGAUCGUAAGUACAAAGCGGUAUCGGAGAUUAGCAGAUUGAGUUAUUCGAGGUUCUCUGUAGCGUCUAGAGAUCUACCGGCUGGGGUAAAAAGGACUUCGACAAGCAGUCAAAGGGCAUCCGUAUAGAUUUACGGUGUAUUCUUGUAGUCGUUUAUAUUCCAGCAGUCAAAAACUGAUAGACUGCUUGACUAUUGGCGAAUCUCCAUAUUACCUUCUACAGCCAAACGCCCGGCGCGUUUUUGAGCAGAAAAGCACGUAAUACGACAAAAGUGGUAAACCCGACGUGAAAGCUUGAGGAGGAAGGUAUUGGAUUUUGGUUGAUUUUAUCUUUAUUUUAUGGAAAACGAAAAUAAAAAAUUUGAAGGAUUUUUGGGAGGAGUUUCUGGUAGGGAUUCUUCUAAAGGACAAGGUAUGCACAUGGAUCCGUCUAUUGCUAGUAUGUUUCAAGCCUUCUCAUUGUCAAUGCAGCAACAGCAAAGCAAUGAUCGAAAGGAAGCUUUGGCAACCAAAGCAUUGCAAGCAAUGGUCAUUAAAAUUGAUCAAUUUGAUGGAAGGAAUAUUUCAAGGUAUUUAAGAUGUUAGGUUCAUGAAAUGGAAUUAAAUCAGGUUUCUGAGAAGAAAAUGGUUGAACUAUUUGGACUUGCCACGCUACCGGAGAUAAGAGACCACAUUACAUCGAUUAUGGAUCGUUAUGGGAAUUCAUGGGAGGUUUUUUCACAUGCAUUGAAAGACGAAUAUUUCUUGGAAGAUGCUGAUCGCGUUACUAAGAAGCUGUUUCUGGAAUGGAUUGAACGGCCUAAUAAGAAUUUGCAAGCAACAGAGCUACUAAGAGAAUUUGAGAGGCAGUACUCUCAAUUGUCAAAGGUAGAAAAAUUGACAUUGGAGCCGAACAAAGUUGAUCUAUUUCUUCAAGCUGCUGAUGGAGAAUUGCAAGGGAAAUUAGAACUCCUUCUUGAAGACAAAGAAGAAGAUGAAGGAUUGACAACGAAGUGGAAGAACGUUGAAGAUGCGAUGGGAUUGCUUAUAAAAAAAAGAAAGGAGGAAGGAUAGGAGCAAUAUUCAGAAAUCAGUACAAGCACCCAAAGCUCCAGUACGUACAACACCACCAACAAUGCCUACAGUUCAACCUUCGACAUCCUUAUCAAAGAAAGCAGAUAUGGGGAUGGAAGAAAUUAUACGAGGAAUGCGAGAUCUUCAAAUCAAAUUGGCAAGACUUAAAGAGAAUACUUCUAUAAACAAUUCGAAGAAUGUUUCAAAACAAAGAUAUGUACAAAGAUGCAUUUGGUGUGAUGAUGCUUCAUACACUAGAAAAGAUUGCAAUGAAUUUAAUAAUAUGAUACGGCAGAGAAUUAUUUUCUGGAAAGAUGGGAAGAUAGCAUUGAAAGAUAGGGAUGAUCUUCUUCAAACCAAUUUUGGCAAGGGAGGAAUGAGAGCAUUGGUUCAAGAUUACCUAAAAGAGCAUGAAACAACAGCAUGAGAAAGUGCAAGUUAUGGUACUAGAGUAGAUGAUGAAAUUGGUGAAGUAUGGAAACUAGUGAGUUUUGGACUUCUGCCGUUUCUACAAUGCAAGAAGGGAAAUUACCUCGAGAAGCGUUAUUGAGGACUGCAGCUAUAAUAUGAGGUAGAACAGGUUGGGAGGAUCCUGUUGAGUCUCUUUCAGUUCAUGCAUAUAUUGCUAAGAGCCAAAAUGAAGCUUUGGUGGAAGAAAAGACACGAGGAAAUUUUGAUGAUACUAGAGAAAGAAAUUCUUCUAAGAGGCAAACUCGAGGAGACAAGGCUCGGGAGGCAGCUUCACAAGAAUUGCCUGUAAAGGAUACCUCAGCAUCAUUGGGAGAAAAAACAAAAGAGACAAAAGAUAAGGGCAAAUCAAUUGCUUAUAAGCUACUUUCUGACAUUGAAGCGGCAACAAAUUUGAAAGGGGUGUUGGAAGAACGUAUAUUAAACGCUAAGGUGGAAUUCACAUUGAAAGAAGUCUUAGGAAUUGCAAAGAAGGAGUUUCAUGAUGUCAUCAUUGACAACAUUAAGCGAAAGAGGCAAUUAAUGGGAGAAACUGGAAUGAGUCAUGCUAUUGAUGCAAGAAUAUAUAAAGAAGAAGAAGAGAUUGAUAUUGGUUACAAGCAACCAACAAAUGAAAAGAAUGGGUAUAAUCAACGAGUACGUUUCGAAGAUUAUACUGAUAAAGAAAUAAAAACUUUGAGCCAUUAUACUCGAAAGCAUUAGGCAAGGGCAACUACUGAGGUAUUGGUGAAAGUAGGAGAUAUAUAAGAACCAAUUGUUGCUUUAGUCGACCAUGGUUCUGAAAUAAAUCUCAUGUCUAAAGAUCUUUAUAAGAAGCAAAAAUAGCCAAUUGAUAUGGAAUAUGGAUGGACAAUUCGAGCGGCUAAUAACACAUGGGGCGAAUUAUAUAGAGCUUGUCCAGAUGUCAAAAUUCGGAUUGGGGAUGUUGCGACGGAGCAACAUUUCUUUGUUCAAGAUACAACGUCUUAUCCGUUGAUUUUAGGACAACCUUAUAUUACGGCAACACGGAUGGAAACAAAAGUACUUGACGAUGAUUCUGCUUAUGCAAGGGUACGGAGCGAAGAUGAGAGGAAAGCUGUACAAUUUCUAACAAUACCUCCUAACCAUGAACGGAAUCGAGAUAGGUUAAGGGAGAAACCAUUGCCAAAGAUUGUUGAAGGAUUUAAGGAUUUUGGGAAGGUACCACUAUAAAGCGAGAUUAUGGAGGUACAAAAGAGGAGGUACUCUCGCGAGAUGAAGGUGCCUUUGAUGCGAGUUUUAUUGAUAUAUCAGAGAAUGGAAAUAUUAUGUAUAAGAAAGUUGAUGAUUUUAAAAGAAAAGAAAGAAAAAGAUUAUAUGAUAUUGAAAGACAAUUACGCAAGUUAGGUACACUACAAGAUGAUGAGAGGAUUUUAGGUGUUUAUGAAGAAAAUGGACUGGAACAUUCAUUGGAAUUGAUUACAUCUAUUGGGUUAAGAGAUAAUGAUAAGAUUGUUGAGAUUCAUUCAAGAGAGGUUUAUACCAUACUUGAAUCUUUUCAAGCACCAGAAGUCACUGUAGAGACGAGAUGUAAAACGGCAGAUAAGAAGGUAAAGCCUGUUGCCGGACCAUUACUAAAAGAUUCUAAAGAACAAAUGGGAGAAGCAUCAAAUGAAGCAAGUUUAAGAGAUCCAAUGAGUAUUGGAUACCAGUUUACUAAAGAGACUUUUGAAGAAUUAAAGAUUGGUUCUGAUGGUUCUUUAUUACCGGAAGAAAUUACUUGCUUCAAAAAGAUGUUGGCUUAACAAGGUAGAUUAUUUGCCUUCGAAUCUCAUGAAAUUGGGUGUGUGGAUCCAAAUAUUGUAACACCUAUGGUUAUCUUCACUGUACCACAUGUACCUUGGAAUCUAAGACUGAUUCUAGUACCGAGGGCACAUUUACCUAAAUUGGUUGAACUAUUAAAAAAAAAGAUAAAUAUGAAAAUAUUAGAACCUUCAUUUGUGCCAUAUUCUAGUCGAUGGUUUACGGUACCUAAGAAGAAUGGGUCACUACGGUUUAUUCAAGAUAUGCAACCGGUGAAUGCAGUAACUGUUAGGAAUGCAAGAAUUGGGCCUAUUGUGGAUGAAUUUGUUGAGGCGUUUGCUGGAAGGGCGAUCUAUUCAAUGGGUGACUUGUAUUCAAGUUAUGAUCAAUUUCAACUUGCCGAAGGAAGUAGAGAUAUGACAACAAUGAGGACACCACUUGGAUUGGUUAGAAUGUACACUCUUCCUCAAGGUGCGAUCAACUCAGUUGCGCAUAUGAUGAAUGAGAUGAAUAAGGUAUUGAGAGAUUUUAUUCCGAAAAAGACUAUGCCUUUUCUGGAUGAUGUUCCUAUAAAAGGGUGCAAAGAAAGAGACAAGGAUGAAACUUUAGAUACGAGGGGGUGUCGCAAAUAUAUUAUUGAUCAUAUACAAGAUUAUGAAAAGAUUUUAACUCGGCUUGGAGAAGUUCAUCUUACAUUAUCGGGUAUGAAGUCCGUAUUUGGAGUACGAGAGGUUGUGAUUGUUGGACAUUUAUGUGGAUCUUACAGAAGAAAAUGAAAUCCGACUAAAGUUGAUGCAAUUGGAAGGAUGAAAGAGGAUUGUGAUUCUUUAACAGAGGUUCGCAGGUUUUUGGGUGCAUGUGUAUUUUAUCGAAUCUGGAUCCCUCAUUUUGCUCACAUAGCGGAUCCAUUAUAUGAACUGUUACGCAAGGGUUACCGAUUUAAAUGGAAAGAAAGGCAUAUUCAGGCAAUGCAAAGAUUGAAGAAAUUAUUGAUGUCACCUCCAAUAUUGAGGAAGGUUGAUUAUAAGUGUAAUAGACUAGUGAUUCUUACUGUGGACGCUAGUCCAAUUGCCAUUGGAUGGGCUGUGGGUCAAGAUGAUUCAAAUGGGAAUAGAUUUGCAGUUUGAUUUGGGACUAAAGUUUUAAGUAUUCGUCAGCGUGCAUAUUCGCAAGUCAAAAGAGAACUUUGGGGAGUCGUUUCGGCUAUGAAAGCUGAAAAGGACUAUUUGAUGAGGGCAGUAGUAGUAAUUGAAACAGAUUCCUUGCCAUUGCUUGGAAUGAUUAUUAACUGUUCAAUGCCAGAUAUUACAAUGUUGAGAUGGAUUGCUUAUAUUAAAUCACUAAAUCUAGAAUUUAAGCAUAUUACUGGGAAGGACAAUUUAGUAGCAGACAUGCUAUCUCGAGCAAGAUACGAGAGGGAGGACGAAAUGGUUAAAGACAUUGAUGACGUUGGAUUGAAAUUCUAUUCAAUAUCAAAUUUCAACAGAGAAGACAAGCUAUUUCUUGAAGAAUCUUAUGAAGGAGAAUUAUUGGAUAUUGGUCAUUACUUGAAUACCUUGACUAAGCAGGGGAAUUGGUCUACAGAAAAAUUCAAACAAAUAAGAAAAAAAGCAUAUAGAUUUUUACUUCGAGAUGGAUUCUUAUGGAAGAGACCGAAGACAAGAAUUGGGAUGCCACAACGAGUGAUAGGCAAAAAGGAAGAAAGACUAAAAUUAUUAAAGGAGUUUCAUGAUAGUUUAUGGGCAGGGCAUAGAGGAAUCUGGGCUACUUUUGCUAAACUCAAGGAACGAUAUUGGUGGAAAAAUAUGUAUCGAGAUGUGCUCUCAUUUGUAGAGUCAUGUGAAAUCUGUCAAUCAUAUUCUAAUAUCCGACAUCGAGAUGGUCUUCAUCCUACGUAUCCUCUGGCUAUUCAUUUUAAAUGGGUUGUUGAUUUGGUUAUUAUGCCGGUUGGGUUAUGGCAGAUGAGAUAUUUGGUUUUAGUUCGUGAAGAUUUAUCAAAUCAAGUAGAAGGAAGAGCAUUGAGGACAAAAUCUACAGAGGAGAUUUGUAGGUUUUUGCUUGAAGAUGUCAUUUGCCACUACGGAUGCGUAGGAAAAAUCACUGCAGAUCAUGGAGAAUUAAAUGCACAAGAAGCUCGUAAGUUCUUUGAAAGAUGUGGACUUAAACUAUCACUGACUACUGCUUAUAAUCCAGAAGGAAAUGCAAAAAGCGAACGCGGUCACCCAACGAUUGUGAAAGCAUUAGUUAAAGCUUGUAAUGGGAAAGUUAAAGAGUGGCCACGGCUUUUGUCAUUUGCAUUAUGGGCUGAUCGAACAACACAUAGUUCGGUGACAGGAUAUAUGCCAGUAGAACUUAUGACAGGUCAAAAACCAAUUAUGCUGAUUGAAAAAAAGGUACUUACUUGGAGUAUGCUACCAUGGGAAGAUGGAAUGACAAGAGAAGAACUUCUGGCUAUUAGGAUUCGACAAUUGGAGCAAAGAACGGAAGAUGUCCAGAUAGCAUUGGGAAGGUUAAAAAGAGCAAGGUUACAAAAUAAGGCACGAUUUGAUAAGCAACAUCGAUUGAGACCAAAAGCAAUCGAGGAAGGUGACUAGGUACUUGUUUAUGAUAAUAGUUUGGAUAAUCAACAUAGUACUUUGCGGAAAUUUUCAAAACGUUGGUUUGGACCAUAUAUAGUAACAACUGUUCAUGAUAAUGUGACUUACUCAUUACGGGAGUUAGAUGGUACAAAAUUGAAAAUACCAAUUGCAGGGAAGUGAGUAAAAAUAUUUAAACGAAGACACGCGGAGAUGAAUAUGGAAGACCUUAAUGAAGGUAUAGAGAUUCCGCAGCAAGAAGAUGAAAGUGAUUUGGAUAAUGAAGGUGACGAAGACGAACAGGACAAAGACGUAGAGGAUAUAUUCUGAAUCAAACAACAAUUGGGUAAAUUGGUGCAUAUCGGAGGAUGCACAGAUUCAGAGGAGGUGGAUGUCGUAUUGUAACAUGAGUAUACCGUGAAAAUAUAAAGAAAGGGGACUUUUAUUAAUGUUCAGUUACCUCGAAUAUUGGGAGCAACGACCAACUCCAAUGCAAAUACUGAGUAGCCAAGUUCAGUCACCCCAUUACAGUCAGCCAAGGCAUACUAAAAUGCUCCAUUUGAUUCAAAUAACGGGAGUCAGCAGGAAGAGAAAGGACCAAUUCUCAUGACUGGUGAGCUUGGUUCGAAGAGCCAAUUGGAUCCAAUUUCAAGAAUCCAAUCCGGGUCCUCUUACCCAAUAUGAGACCUUCAUUGGUCAGGCAACCCAAUGCAGUCUUGUUACGGGAACAUCCAGGUUACUACAGGCAUCUUACCCAAUAUGAGACCUGCAUUGGUCGGGCAACCCAAUGCAGUCUAAUUACGGGAGAAUCCGGGUCUUACUACUGGACUCUUAUCCAAUAUGAGACCUGAAUUGGUCGGGCGACUCAAUGUGGACCCGAGUAUGGGGUUUUGAUUCUGUUUCAGGUUGUACUAUUCUCUGUUUCAGGGAACGUUGUUUUCGAUAAAUGGAUUUCUUAAAGGUUAAAACAGAGGAGAAAGCUCUGACAGCGAGAGCCAAAUUCGGAUCUAAGCCUUGAUGGCGAGAGUCAAUUUCGGAUCUAAGCUCUGACGGUGGGAGCAAAUUUCGGAUCCAAGAUGGAAGAUUGAAGAAAUUCAGAGGAUAAGGUUAGGGGGGGAGUAAGUUUUGGGGAGGUUUUUUUUCAGAUCAGGGGGGAGGUUUUUUUUUGAAGAUAGGGAAGAGCUAGCUUCAAGCUCUUUUUAAGGUUAUUAGUUCAGUUUCAUUGGAGGUUUUUGAAGAUCAGGGAUUGGAGAUGAGCUUCAUGCUUUGGAUCGGGGAAGAAAAGACGGAGUAUUGGAUUUUUCUUCUUCAUAGAGUUUUGAAGAGACUGAGGCAAUCGUUGUUGAAGUCAGUGUUGUAAUGGUGAAUCGAGAUUUUUUAAUGAAGUGGGUUUGAUUACUCUUGACUGUUUUGUGAAAUCGAGUUACGUCUGUGAUUGAAGGAUUAAAAGGGUGUCUAUAGGAUUGAGUAUGCGGAGUGAAUGAAUUUUAUUGGGUUAAUCUAACAAGACAGUCAGUGGAUAGAAGAUCGUAAGUACAAAGCGGUAUCGGAGAUUAGCAGAUUGGGUUGUUCAAGGUUCUCUGUAGCGUCUAGAGAUCUACUGGCUGGGGCAAAAAGGACUUCGACAAGCAGACGAAGGGCAUCCGUAUAGAUUUACGGUGUAUUCUUGCAGUUGUUUAUAUUCCAACAAUCAAAAACAUAUAGACUGCUUGACUAUUGGCGAAUCUCCAUAUUACCUUCUACAGCCAGACGCCCGGCACGUUCUCGAGUAGGAAAGCACGUAAUACGAUACCGUCUUGACUUCUUAUCCUUGCAUAAGCUGAUCCAUCAUCUAUAACCUUUGUCUCCAUUCAUGUGGCAGUAAUAUAUGGUUGUCUUAAUAUAAUAGGAUACAUAGACAUAUCUUGCACAAAGAAAUUUUGUUCAUCAAUAACAUCUCCUAUUGUCACUUUGAUAUUUGGACAAGCUCGAUACAAAUCUCUUUUUGAAUUAUUUGCUACUCUUAUCAUCCACCCAUGCUCAAUAUCAAUAGGCCAAUUUCUCUUUUUAUAUAAUUUUGUUGACAUUAAAUUUAUUUUAGAAACAUAAUCAAUCAAUGCUACAAUUGGUUCUUUUACAUCUCUCAAUUUUAUUAAAAUUUCCGUAGUAUCUCUUGCCCAAUGACUCCGAGAAUAAUGACUAGAAGCUUGAAUCAUAUCUUCUUUUCCUAUAAAUUUGACUCGUGAAACAUCUCCAACAAUUUACAUUUCAAUUUCUUCAUCUUUAUUGCUUUCUAUUGCCUUUGUACCUUGUGCAUUUGAUGUCAUAGUAUCACCAAUAGAUUGCCGUUUUUUUUUUUAUUGUAUCAAUAAUAACUUCAUGAAAUUUUCAUUUUACAAUUCUUAGAAUUUCACCAAUUGUAAAUUCAACCUUUUCACUUAAAAUCCGCUCCUCCAAUAUUUUCUUCAAAUCUGUAGCAGCUUCAAUAUCUGAUUGUAAUUUAUGAGCAGGAACCUUUGCUUUUUCUUUCAUAAUCUCCCUCUCUUUUGUAGAAAUAUUCUCUAUUGUCUCUUCAUACAUAGGAUUCUUCUCUUGUCGAAUUUUAUCUCUCCUUGUGAUUCUUUUUGAUGGCCCUUCAUGAUUUUCGUUUCUCCUUCAUUUUUCUUCUAUUAAUGCUUCAUGUUGACUCCUUGUAAUAUGAACAUGAAUUGAUAAUCUAUCUACUAGAUCAUCCCACCUAGUAAUUUACCAAAUUUUAUUGCCAACAUGUUUUAGAUCAUCUCCAAUAAAAUUUCUCUUUUGAACAUAAUUCAUUGCACUUGACUAUAAAGAACUAGAUUCUCUUAGAUACUCAAGAUUUAUACUUAAGCAUUUUCUUGGAUUUGCUCCCACCCAAAAUAUUGAUGCUUCAUUGCUUGAAGUUGUAUGCACCUUGAAAGCAUCUCCUACAAACACCUUCAUUCUCCUUUUACCAAAAUUUGUCUCUAAUUUUUCUCCACUCUCUUUUAAGUGUAUCAUACCAUCUUUAAAAAAAAAAAAUCCUUUGUAUAGUGCCUCUGAAAAAUCCUCACACUUCCUUCUUGAAUGAUCUAUGCUAUCAUACCACAUGCACCUAUGCACCAUACUUUCUAUUGGUCUUAAAUUUUGUCUUGUUGAUAUUCUUGAUGAUUGAUCCAUCUCUUCAAGUUUUGUAAAUUUUAUUUGCAAAUAUCUCAUCCUUCGUAUGAUUUCAACAAUGCCCAUUUCUUCUCUCUUUGAUGUAGCCAUUGAAGGUUGAAUCGUAGAUGUACGAUAGAUAGCAGGAAUUUUUUCUUUAGAUGCUUACAAUGGUCUUUGAAUUUCUAUCCUAACUUUUUUCUUUUUUCUUUUUACAAGCAUCCCAAUCGCCUCUUCUACUUUCUCUUAAUUUGUUGUCAAUCCUUCAACUUCAUCUUUAUCUUCCAGCAAAAUUUCCAACUUCUCUUACAACUCUCCUCUAGCUGCUUGAAGAAAAAGCUCCACUUUACUUGAAUCUAAUAAUUUCCUCUCGUUCUUUGAUAAAUAAGAAUAUUGCUUUUCAAACUCCCUUAGUAACUCCGUUGCUAGUAGAUCCUUCUUAGGCCUUUCAAUCCAUUCAAAAAAUGACUUCUUUGUAACUCGGUCACUAUCUUCUAAAAAAUACUCAUCUUUUAAUACUUGAGAUAAUUUUUUCAAUGAACCUCCAAAAUGUCCUAGAAUGGACUUCACAUGAUUUCUUAUUUUUGAUACAGUAGCCAAUUCAAAUAGCUGAAUCAUCUCCUUCUCUGAAACAUGCUUCAAUUCCAUUUCCUUUACGUAACAUCUUAAAUAUUUUGUAAUAUCCUUCCCUUCAAAUUGAUCAAUCUUGUCUACAACAACUUGUAAUGCUUUGUUUGCCAUGCCCUCUUUGCGAUCCUUAACCUGUUGUUGUUGCAUGAAUAAGGUCAAUGCCUCAAACAUGCUUGCAGAGUUGGGAUCAAAAUAUAUACCUUGUCUUUCAAUUGAAGCUCCACUUCCAACUCCACUUGAAGCACCACCAAAAACUCCUCCUUCCACUCUCUUACCUUUCUUCUCUAUAAUCCAAAUAGAUCAAAGAAACUCCAAAUACCUCCCACCUCAAGUUUUUCACAUCGGAUUCACCAAAUAUGUCGUAUUAUGUGAAGUCUUGCUUGAAAAUGCACCAAGCACCUAGCUAUGGAAGAUAAAGAAAAUUGGAACAAAAGAUCCUAACAAUCCAAUAGGAUUAUAGAGAAUUUACAAUUAAACGUUAAUAAUCAUAAUCAAACAUUAAGCAAGCUCAAUUAAAUUUUAUUGAAGUUAUAAAAAAAAUACAAGAAAAUCCUAAAGAAAUAUAAAAAAAUAUUAAAGAAAACUUAGUCAAACCCUAACAAAAAUAUAAUUAAACCUUAAAUUCUAACCAAUCCCUAAUCCUAAUCCAACCUUAAUCAAAUCCUAGACAAAUCCUAAAUCCUAAACCAAACCCUAAUCAAACCUUAAUCAAAUCCUAAACCUUAAAUCAAUCCCUAAUCAAAUCCUAAACCAAAUCCUAAAUCCUAACCCAAACCCUAAUCCAAAUCCUAAUCUAAACCCUAAUCCAAAUUCUAAACCCUAAACCAAACCCUAAAUCCUAAAUCGUAAACCAAAUCCUAAAUCAAAUCCUAAAUCAUAUCCUAACUCUAAAAAAUCCUAAACCCUAAACCAAAUCCUAAUCAAAUCCUAAUC
This 16843-nucleotide long non-coding RNA is filed under the name Physcomitrium patens. RNAcentral's name for it is "long non-coding RNA (PPAT_LNC008673)". Lineage: Eukaryota; Viridiplantae; Streptophyta; Bryopsida; Funariales; Funariaceae. The record is from RNAcentral.